RNAcentral lists this transfer RNA (65 nucleotides) under Trichophthalma punctata. RNAcentral's name for it is "tRNA-Leu". The record is from RNAcentral. Lineage: Eukaryota; Metazoa; Arthropoda; Insecta; Diptera; Nemestrinidae.
ACUAUUUUGGCAGAUUAGUGCGUUAAAUUUAGAAUUUAAAUAUGUGAUUUAUGUUACAAAUAGUA